UCUGAUUGGUAUCAAUGUGGUUCAGUGGCAACCUAACCAACCAACCAACCAACAUUUGGUGCUAACUCAAUUCAUGAUCUAGUCAACGACACUGUGCCGUGCGGUGCGUGGAUUUAAUCUACGCUGGCCCUGAAUGAAUGAUACAAGUCAGACAGUCCACGCCUGAUUUGGGUCAUAUGUCGACCAAUAGAUGACGAGGUU
This 201-nucleotide long non-coding RNA is filed under the name Volvox carteri. RNAcentral's name for it is "long non-coding RNA (VCAR_LNC002924)". The record is from RNAcentral. Lineage: Eukaryota; Viridiplantae; Chlorophyta; Chlorophyceae; Chlamydomonadales; Volvocaceae.